RNAcentral lists this ribosomal RNA (422 nucleotides) under uncultured archaeon. RNAcentral describes it as "bacterial SSU rRNA". It matches the Rfam family "Archaeal small subunit ribosomal RNA", at positions 401 to 822 of the family's 1478-position model. The record is from RNAcentral.
UUCGGGCUGUCCGCCAGUGUAAAUAACUGGUGAAGAAAGGGCCGGGCAAGACCGGUGCCAGCCGCCGCGGUAAUACCGGCGGCUCGAGUGGUGGCCACUAUUACUGGGCUUAAAGCGUCCGUAGCUGGAUUGUUAAGUCUCUUGGGAAAUCCACCGGCUCAACCGAUGGGCGUUCAGGAGAAACUGGCAAUCUAGGGACCGGGAGAGGUGAGAGGUACUCCAGGGGUAGGAGUGAAAUCCUGUAAUCCUUGGGGGACCACCUGUGGCGAAGGCGUCUCACUAGAACGGCUCCGACAGUGAGGGACGAAAGCUGGGGGAGCAAACCGGAUUAGAUACCCGGGUAGUCCCAGCUGUAAACGAUGCGCGUUAGGUGUAUCGGUGACCACGAGUCAUCGAGGUGCCGAAGGGAAACCGUGAAACGU